This 80-nucleotide transfer RNA is filed under the name Erysiphe necator (grape powdery mildew). It matches the Rfam family "tRNA". Rfam says of the family: Transfer RNA (tRNA) molecules are approximately 80 nucleotides in length. Their secondary structure includes four short double-helical elements and three loops (D, anti-codon, and T loops). Further hydrogen bonds mediate the characteristic L-shaped molecular structure. tRNAs have two regions of fundamental functional importance: the anti-codon, which is responsible for specific mRNA codon recognition, and the 3' end, to which the tRNAs corresponding amino acid is attached (by aminoacyl-tRNA synthetases). tRNAs cope with the degeneracy of the genetic code in two manners: having more than one tRNA (with a specific anti-codon) for a particular amino acid; and 'wobble' base-pairing, i.e. permitting non-standard base-pairing at the 3rd anti-codon position. The record is from Rfam by way of RNAcentral. Lineage: Eukaryota; Fungi; Ascomycota; Leotiomycetes; Helotiales; Erysiphaceae.
UCCGCAUUAGUGUAGGGGUUAACAUACUCCGCUUUCAUGAUUGAGCCGGAGAGCCCCGGGUUCGAUUCCCGGAUGCGGAA